UAAAGGCAAGGACAAGAAGGCAAUUAGCAGCAGGAAGAAUUUAUGAAAGGUCAGUUGUGCUUAACCAACUCAACAACCUUCUACAACAUUGAAGUUCAACAAAGGGAAGUCCUGCCCUUGUGGAUGAACAAGCCCAGACAGCAAUACAUGCUGCAGCCAGUGGGCUGGAAAACAGCUACACAAAGAAGGAUCCGGGGGUCACGUGCUUAACAAAAAGUUGUCAACUCACCAGCAACUCACCUGCACAGCAAAGACAGCAAUUGACAUCCUGAGUUGCACCAGAAAAACCAGCAGCAGCAGCUGGAAGAAGGUGAACCUUUCCCUCUGCUCAGCACUGGUAGAGUUAAGAUACAUCUGGAGUGCUGGGUCCGGGUCUGAGCUUCCCAAGCACAAAACAGACGCGAACAUUCCAGAGUGCCUCCAGCAAAGGACCAUAAAGGGACUGGAAAAUUUGUCAUAUGAUGAUAAACUGAGAGAGCUGGGAGUGUCUAGUCUGGAGAAGAGAAGGCUCUUGAAGGAUCUUACUGAUUUCUAGAAAUACUUGGUGGGAAACAAAGAAGUGCAUGGACCUAGGCUCUUCUCAGUGACAGGACAAGAGGCAAUGGGCACAAACUGGAUGACAAGAAAUUCCAUCUGAACUCUCCAGAAGGUUUUGCUAUUCAGUUUUUGGUUUUGCCCUUUUUUUUUUUUUCUUUUUUCCCCUAUGGGAGUAGUCAAUCACCUAAACAGGUUGCCCAGAGAAAUUCUGGCAUCUCAGCCCUUGGAGAUAAUUAAAACCAACUACACAUGGUCCUGGGCAGCCUUCUCUACUUGACUCUGCUGUGAUCUGGGACAUAGGUGAUUUUAGUCAUGAUGAACCAGAUGGCCCCUUCCAACCUCAAGGAUUCUGUGAUGCUCUGGUUCAGGUCUACUCAUCCUUGUCUCCAGCUCUGGUACCAACUUCUGCUGCCCCAGAUGAACCCUGCCUCUGAUCCAUCACUUGUUGAGGGAGCUUGCUACCAGAGAGCUGCCCUGUCCUCUUCACUUUUCUGCUGUAGGACUGUCCCCUGGACAAGGAGGGCACUGGUGCAGCAGGUCUGGAUGCCUGGCUCCUACUGCCUUGUGCAGCAGACCCAUUCCUGCUGCUCCCUGGACACCGUCUGUAUUCUGGAGAGACCUCAUGCACCUCUCUCCAGCAAAUGCAAGAAGAAUUUCAUGUAUCUGCAGGCAUGGGAUCUGCAACAUUUCUGUGACAACUGAAGCACUUUUCAUGACUGAUACACAUUGUUUAACAGCAUAAGGAGAAAAUCACUAAGUUUAGAGUCAGAACCUGGUGAAGCAUCAAACACUUACCUAGAGUUCAAAUUCAUUUGACAGCAUACAUGUUUUUGUAGAUUUGCAUUUGCAUUCUAGUCAUGAAGACACAACUAUAUGAGACUUAAUACUACAGAGUUUUGAUUUACGACAAGCCAAAUGCUUAACUUCUUUCCCAUGAAAUAUCCUUUGUCCUCUCUUCUGUAUCACAGCAUAAAGAACAUUUACUGAGAAGAACCUGAGAGUGUGGAGUAUGAUUUAUUUUAUGAAUUGUAUAAGGCAUCUACUGGACAAUCCAGCAACUUGCUCUUAACCUUCACUCUUCUUAGGAAAAAGUCUGGUUAUGAUACGAGAUAAUUCUUAGCUGCAAGUCUUUCCCUUACAAGGAAUCUCUACAUUGUUUAGACUCUGGUAACCAUAUUUCCUAAAUGUACUCUGAUUGUGAAGAAUCCUUGGGAUGCCCUAAUUAAGUGGCUCUCAGAUAAUCUGCUUCAAAAAUGGUUAUGUUAUUUUUUAAAAACUGUUCCAUAAAUCAAAUCACAACUCUAAAAAAAUUCUGAAAAAAAUUCUCAUUAUCAUGACUUCUCUUAACAGACUUGAAGUCAUUGAUUGAAACUGCUGGUCCUUCCUCAAAAGGUGUACGCUCACAAGACUAGGGAAAUCAUCACCAAACACAGUACAUGGGUCAAAGCACUGAGUGUUGCUUCUGAUCAAAGAUGAAAACCAGUAGACACUGCUAUUACUGAGGCAGUCCUCUACUUACUGACUUAAUACAAUCCUGUUGCCUUACCUGUGGUUCCUUGUUGUGUUGGCUAGGAUCCUUUUCAUAACUCUCUGCGUAGAUCCGCAGAGUAGCUCUCACAUGACUAGAAGCACUCAUUCUGAAGAUGAGCCUGGAAGCAUCUGAAAAAAUAAUCCGCAGCCCCUAGGAAAGGAGAAGGAACAUCAUAUAUGUAAGGUCACAGUACCUUAACAAAUUACGAGCCACUGCUCCAAAAUAAAAGUGAAAGGAAGAGUCAUCUGAAUGCCAUUCUUCUUUCCCCACAACUUUGGACAACACACUCUGUCCUAGGGUGACUGUUAUCCCCAUUCAUGUGUGUGUAAUUUAUGCUGGAUAUCAUGUUCUGUGCCUUUAAGACUGGCAGAGUGAGAGUUUUGUUUUGGGCCUCUUAUCAGCCACUCGGCAGGACAUACAGAUAGUACCAGUAUAUAGCGCUGCUUUUUGCUUUCGCUCUUGCUUCUGCUUCACUUCUGCUUCGCUUGCUCUUGCCUUUUUUCCCCCCUUCUCAUUAGUUAAUUUAGCUAAACAGUCCAAAUUCCUUUCUGGACUGUUCCCCCCCGCUCCAUUUGGACCUGCUGACUGCUCCGGACUGGGAUUCAGAACACCGAGAGAGAGUUUACAUCUUGUGGCUGCAGCAGCUGCCCCAGUGCCGGAGGGACUGAUAACAGCGACCAUCCCCAGGAGAGGCUUUUCUGAAUUUGCCAUCUUUUUCAGAGCAGUGGAAGAGUGGUGUCAUCCGGUAUUGUUCAUUGUGUGUGCUGGGGGGUGCUGUGCCUGUCAAAUAAACAGGUUCUUUCCA
This is a long non-coding RNA of Haemorhous mexicanus (house finch), 2873 nucleotides long. RefSeq lists it as uncharacterized. The transcript has 2 exons. Lineage: Eukaryota; Metazoa; Chordata; Aves; Passeriformes; Fringillidae. The record is from RefSeq and is a predicted model, not a curated record.